This 253-nucleotide ribosomal RNA is filed under the name uncultured bacterium. Its description in RNAcentral is "partial 16S ribosomal RNA". It matches the Rfam family "Bacterial small subunit ribosomal RNA", at positions 524 to 776 of the family's 1533-position model. The record is from RNAcentral.
GACAGAGGGUGCAAACGUUGUUCGGAAUUACUGGGCGUAAAGCGCGUGUAGGCUGCUCGGAAAGUCGGAUGUGAAAGCCCUGGGCUCAACCUAGGAAGUGCAUUCGAAACUACCGAGCUGGAGUUCUGGAGAGGAAGGCGGAAUUCUCGGUGUAGAGGUGAAAUUCGUAGAUAUCGAGAGGAACACCGGUGGCGAAGGCGGCGACCUGGGUGGAUACUGACGCUGAGGUGCGAAAGCGUGGGGAGCAAACAGG